AAUAAAACAUCGCAGGGUAUUCGAUGGAUCCCUAGGCAUUGGUGGAGAGAAAGGACGUAGGAUAACACGAAAGGCCACGGGUAGAAAUAAAACUGUGAUCCGUGGGUAUCCGAGGGGGAAACCCACCCAUUAGGGGUGGCGGGGGCUUUAGGGGCUUCCGCAGCGUACCCGGUGAACUGAAACAUCUAAGUAACCGGAGGAAAGGAAAUCAAUCGAGACUCCGUUAGUAGUGGCGAGCGAAUGCGGAUUAAGCCAAGUAGUUUAAUUAUUUCACCGGAAAAAACUUGAAUGUUUUACCGAAGAGGGUGGCAGUCCCGUACGGGAAGAAAUAUGCAAGUGAAUAAGUAGGACGGGACAUGUGAAAUCUUGUUUGAAGAUAAUGGUAAAAUGGGGGAACCACCCCCCAAGGCUAAGUACAACCAAUGACCGAUAGUGAACAAGUACCGUGAGGGAAAGGGUGAAAAGAAUCAUGAAAAUUGAGAGUGAAAUAGACUUGAAAUCGAAUAUCUACAAUCAGUCGAAGCUUCAUUAAAAAGCGACGGCGUACCUUUUGCAUAAUGGGCCAGCAAAUUAAUUCAGGGGGCAAGCUUAACCCGUUGGGGGUGAGGCGCAGCAAAGGCGAGUCCGAAUAGGGCGCACACAGUCCUCUGGAUUAGACCCGAAACUGGGUGAUCUAGCCAUGGCCAGGUUGAAGAUAUGAUAAUACAUAUCGGAGGACCGAACCCACGUAUGUUGCAAAAUACCGGGAUGAGCUGUGGCUAGGGGUGAAAGGCCAAUCAAACCCAGAGAUAGCUGGAUUUCCGCGAAAUCUAUUUAAGUAGAGCGCUGUGUAUUCUAUGGAAGGGGUAGAGCACUUGAUGAACUAGGGUGGCCCAAAGCUUUACCGACUUCAACUAAACUCCGAAUACUUACCAUUAGUAGCACAGCAGACAGACUAUGGGUGCUAAGAUCCAUGGUCGAGAGGGGAAGAGCCCAGACCACCAGUUAAGGCCCCAAAAGUAUGGCUAAGUGGGAAAGGAAGUGGGGAAGCCAAGAGAGCCGGGAGGUGGGCUUAGAAGCAGCCAUCCUUUAAAGAAAGCGUAAUAGCUCACCGGUCGAGAUUUCAAUUGAAAUUAAAGCUUUUCUGCGCCUAAAAUGUAACGGGGCUUAAGCCAUAUGCCGAAACUGUGGAUCUCUCGAUUACCCCAUUGGGUAUAAAAGGGGAGAUGGUAGCGGAACGUUCUGUAGGCCGUGGAAGAAAAAUCGAAAGAUUUUUUGGAGGUAUCAGAAGUGAGAAUGCUGGCAUGAGUAGCGAUAAACAAUGUGAAAAACAUUGUCGCCGUAAGUUCAAGGGUUACUGCACAAGGUUAAUCCAUGCAGUGUUAGCCGGCCCCUAAGGCGAAGGCGAAAGCCUAAGCUGAUGGGAAGUGGAGUUUAAUAGUUCCACGCCAAUUGGUGAUGACGGAGUGGUUGAAUGAAAUGGGCUCAAUUGGAUUGGCCAUUUUCUGAGGCCCCUUCCGGGAAAUAGGACCAAUAUUAAUGACCGUACCCUAAACCGACACAGGUGAACUGGUGUAGCACACUAAGGCGCUUGGGAGAACCAUAUUGAAGGAACUCGGCAAAAUGACCCCGUAACUUCGGAAUAAGGGGGGCCUUCUGAGGCAUAACUGAAAAUAGGGGGAAGCGACUGUUUAUUAAAAACACAGGACUCUGCAAAAUUGUAAAAUGACGUAUAGGGUCUGAUGCCUGCCCGGUGCUGGAAGGUAAAAGGGAGAGGUGCAAGCUUCGAACAUAACCCCCAGUAAACGGCGGCCGUAACUCUGACGGUCCUAAGGUAGCGAAAUUCCUUGUCGGGUAAGUUCCGACCUGCACGAAUGGCAUAACGAUUUCCCCGCUGUCUCCAAUGUGGACCCAGCGAAAUUGAAUUCUCCGUGAAGAUGCGGAGUACCUGCGGCUAGACGGAAAGACCCCGUGCACCUUUACUGCAACUUUACAUUGUAGCCGGGAGUGGAUUGUGUAGAAUAGGUGGGAAACCUAGGAUGCUUUGGCGCCAGCCAAUUGCGGAGGUACCUUUGAAAUACCACCCUCUUCUAUCCCUCUCUACUAAUUUACUUCUUUUGAAGGAAGACCGUGUAUGGGUGGUAGUUUGACUGGGGCGGUCGCCUCCCAAAGAGUAACGGAGGCGUACAAUGGUGGGCUCAAGCUGGUCAGUACUCAGCUGUGGAGCGCAAUGGCAUAAGCCCGCCUGACUGUGAGAUCGACAAAUCGAGCAGGGACGAAAGUCGGCCAUAGUGAUCCGGUGAUUCCGUGUGGAAGGGUCAUCGCUCAACGGAUAAAAGGUACGCCGGGGAUAACAGGCUAAUGACCCCCAAGAGUUCAUAUCGACGGGGUUGUUUGGCACCUCGAUGUCGGCUCAUCAUAUCCUGGAGCUGAAGUAGGUUCCAAGGGUUCGGCUGUUCGCCGAUUAAAAUGGUACGUGAGCUGGGUUUAGAACGUUGUGAAACAGUUCGGUCCCUAUCUACCGCAGGUGUUUGAGAAUUGAGGGUUUUUUAUCUUAGUACGAGAGGACUGGAUAGAACAUACCACUGGUGUACCGGUUGUCGCGCCAGCGGCACCGCCGGGUAGCUACGUAUGGAAAAAAUAACCACUGAAGUCAUCUAAGUGGGAAGUUUAACCCAAAAUAAGUUCUUGGGGGGCAGUACAAGAUUAGUACGUUGAUAGGCUCCAGGUUAAAGAUGUGUAAACAUUUUAGCUGAGGAGUACUAAUUGCCCUUCGUUUUAUUUUUA
This 2766-nucleotide ribosomal RNA is filed under the name Ancoracysta twista. RNAcentral describes it as "bacterial LSU rRNA". It matches the Rfam family "Bacterial large subunit ribosomal RNA". The record is from RNAcentral. Lineage: Eukaryota; Nebulidia; Nebulidea; Nebulidida; Ancoracystidae.